This 3283-nucleotide long non-coding RNA is filed under the name Cicer arietinum (chickpea). Its description in RNAcentral is "long non-coding RNA (CARI_LNC000936)". The record is from RNAcentral. Lineage: Eukaryota; Viridiplantae; Streptophyta; Magnoliopsida; Fabales; Fabaceae.
UUUAUUUAAUUUUAGUGUUUUGUUUUAAAUCUUAUGUUUUGUGGUGAUGUGCUUUAGUAAAUUAUGUCUUUUUCACUUUUGUUUUUGUUUUAAUUUUCCAGUGUCAGGGAUAGUUUCCGUGGUUCGCUUAAAUCAGUGAGAUUGUGGACGAAAUUUUUAGGGUUUGGAAUCGGUGAAAGAGAUCUAUUUUGCGACAGUGAAGUUUUUGUACUUUCUUGCUUGUUUCUGAUACCUUGUAUUGUGGCAUUGAGAAUUUGAGAUCUAGUUUUUUUUUUUUUUUGUGUGUGUGUGACUAUGGAGACACUUGUUGUUGUUGACCAGCAUAAGAAUCAAUACUGUAGCAGAUCUAAGUCACAAGGCCAUGGUAGAUUUGGAUCUUCACCUUCAAAACAAUUUAGAGGGAUUAACUGUAGGACUUUUCAAUCUGAUUCAGGUAUAUUACCAACUCCUUUGAAAUCUCAGAGUUUUCAUGAAACUAAAACACCAACAUCUCCUGUUACUGAAAACCCUAAUAGGAAAAAAACUAGUCCUAAGAGCUCCCCGAUUCCGAUUAAUGGUAAAACUUGUAGAAAAGAGACAACUUUCAGUGGAGAUUUAUGCUGUGGAAGCUUUUUGCUAUCUGAGUUAUGGGCUGGACCUACAUAUUCAAAUUCGCCACCACCUAGUUCUCUGCCGAUUCCUAAGUUUUCUGUGAGACCGAAGAGGACUGUGUCUCUUGAUCUUCCUGAUUCCUCUCCUGAGAUUGAAUUGCGCCCGAUGGCUAAGUCUGCACCCUCUUCUCCGACCAGGGAGCGAUUGUGUUUUACAAGGGAUCUCUUUGUGAAUGCUGAUUCUGCUACUGAGACCCUUCGUCGGAUUCUCAAUCUCGACAUCAAUGAUGAAUGAAACUUAAGGAGCAAUGCACUCCUGUAAAUAAGUGUUUUCAAUGAAAGUAGGUUUGUGUUAUGUUAGAUGUAUAUAAAGGUUCUGUAGAAUUUGUAGUGUGAGUUGGUUUGAGUUUGUGUAGCUUUUAGUUGUGGCAAUUAUGCACUUGAUGAUUUUGGCUUUAGUGGGUCGACAAUCUCUAGAUUUUGGAAAUGGAUCAAGGUUGGCAGUGGAGAGGGUUAUUGGGUUUGUGCCGGAGGAAUUGGUUGAAAGCAGGCUUUGGUAUGGGUCUUGAGACUUGACGGAAGCUUCCAUGAAAAUGAUUAUGAAGCAAAUUGAUGGUAAUGGUAGGAGUGUGUGGAAUUGACUUGGGUUGACGGUGGUUAUGGGACCUGAAGAAGGUCUGGUAUGGGUCUUGAGAGUUGAUGGAAGCUUCCAUGAAAAUGAUUCGGAAGCAGGGCGAUGGUAACAGUAGGAGUAGCAUGGAACUGACUUGGGUUGACGGCGUCUAUUAGACCUGAAGAAGGUUACAUACAAGCUGAAUCCUGAACUUAUAAUAUAUUGUUAGCACUCAUCAUAAGCUUUUUUCUCAUAUAAUGGUUAACAUUACUUUACUCUGAUAUAGGAUAUAUAGGCAUCUCGCAUUAGAUACGAUGUACAAACUGUAGAAUCUUGUCCUUACAAAAAAACCCUUAGGUCUCUCCUCUCUUUCUUUCUAAGCUUUUCUGGGUUUUUUUCUUAGCAUCAUCUUUAAUCAUUCUCACUUCUAUCCUUAUUUUACUUUCUUUUCUGAGACAUUUAACUGUGUUUAUCACUGUCAUUUCAGUUGAUUAGAUGAUAUGCAGUUUGCUAGUUACUUCCUUCCCUAUAUUUGUUUCUACCUUCCCUAUCAGUCUUUUCAUAUCUUCCAGUCAUCUUUCUUUCUCUGUUAGUAUUUAUAUUUUAAAUAGCAGCCCUCAGUGAGGGUUUUGUUUUCCCCUUAACUAUCUUUUCUGUUUUUUUCAAAGAAAAGUUAGAAGGGAUUUGUAGUAGUCUUUUGCUGCAUUAACUUCUGUUUUCUAGGAUGAAUCAAUUCCGUUCCACCGACUAUAAAUCCCCUGAUAUAUUUCCUUCUGGUUUUGAGUAAUGCAUAUUUCUGUAGUCCUUAUCCUCACCAGUCACCUGGCUUAUCUUCCACUUCCAUGGAGAGUGUUGACCAAGCUAUGCCGAAAUUUAAGGUAAGAUAUUGCUUAAUCAUUGUUUAAAUGCUUCUGCCAUUCUUUUCAUGAUGUUACAUUACAGUUAAUAAGAAUUGUUUAAUAUGUGAAUCAGGAAGGCAAAACUUUACUCAUGCUUCUUCAGUUAUGGAUCAUGAGAUGUGGUCAGUUUCAAUUGCAAAUCAGUUUCUGCCAUAAUGUCCUCUCUGGGUCGCAAAUUUGAUUGUUUCUUUUUCUUCCUUCUUCAGUAACUUGUGUAACUUGUUUGGUCUGCUGAAAUAAAAUGUUUAAUGACUAUCAUCUAUCUGAUAUUUUGUAUUUGAUUUAAAUACUUAUUCACCUUAUUAAUUUAUAUUGCGUUUCAUUGAAAGCUCUAGAAUAAUUGGCUGCAUUUUAACGAACUUUUGUAUCCGACGUUGUUAGUUAAGCUUUCACUAAGUAAAAUGUGUGGCUCCUAAUAUUGAUGGAACUUGUCUCAUGAAAUAUUUGGUAAUGAUUCGCAUAUAUCAAAUAUUUGGUGUCAUGUUUGAAACAUUCAUAAUUGUGUAUUUUCAUGCAAUUGCAACUACAUUUUAGGCUCCUUAAUAAUUAAGUAGUUAACAUAAAUUUAUGUUCGGUAAAUCCAACUCAAUUGAUAGAAGGCCGAAGAGGCUUCAACUCCAACACCCUUCUUUUUCUUUUUACUUGAGGUGUGGGUUUUGAAAUUAAAUUUUUUAAUCAAGGUAAAAUGGGUUUGAACAAAUAAAUUGAAUUUCAACCGUUAUUAUUAAAGUAAUUUUAAUAAAAUAAAUUAUAAAUUUAUAAUAUUUGAAUUAUUUUAAAUAAUUUUUUUUUUAAAUGUUGAUUUAUUUAAUUUUAGUGUUUUGUUUUAAAUCUUAUGUUUUGUGGUGAUGUGCUUUAGUAAAUUAUGUCUUUUUCACUUUUGUUUUUGUUUUAAUUUUCCAGUGUCAGGGAUAGUUUCCGUGGUUCGCUUAAAUCAGUGAGAUUGUGGACGAAAUUUUUAGGGUUUGGAAUCGGUGAAAGAGAUCUAUUUUGCGACAGUGAAGUUUUUGUACUUUCUUGCUUGUUUCUGAUACCUUGUAUUGUGGCAUUGAGAAUUUGAGAUCUAGUUUUUUUUUUUUUUUGUGUGUGUGUGACUAUGGAGACACUUGUUGUUGUUGACCAGCAUAAGAAUCAAUACUGUAGCAGAUCUAAGUCACAAGGCCAUGGUAGAUUUGGAUCUU